This 902-nucleotide ribosomal RNA is filed under the name uncultured archaeon. Its description in RNAcentral is "bacterial SSU rRNA". It matches the Rfam family "Archaeal small subunit ribosomal RNA", at positions 19 to 923 of the family's 1478-position model. The record is from RNAcentral.
AGAGGCUACUGCUAUCGAGAUUCGAUUAAGCCAUGCGAGUUGAAUGUUCUUCGUGAACAUGGCGGACUGCUCAGUAACACGUGGACAACCUACCCUUGGAUCUGGGAUAAACCCGGGAAACUGGGCAUAAUACCGGAUAAGCCACGUAUGCUGGAAUGCUUUGUGGCUCAAAGCUCCGGCGUCCAAGGAUGGGUCUGCGGCCUAUCAGGGUAGUAGUGGGUGUAAUGUACCUACUAGCCUACGACGGGUACGGGUUGUGAGAGCAAGAGCCCGGAGAUGGAUUCUGAGACACGAAUCCAGGCCCUACGGGGUGCAGCAGGCGCGAAAACUUUACAAUGCGGGAAACCGCGAUAAGGGAAUCUCGAGUGCCAGCAUAUAAUGUUGGCUGUCCAGAUGCCUAAAAAGCAUUUGUUAGCAAGGGCCGGGCAAGACCGGUGCCAGCCGCCGCGGUAACACCGGCGGCCCGAGUGGUAACCGUUAUUAUUGGGUCUAAAGGGUCUGUAGCCGGCCGAAUAAGUCUCUUGGGAAACCUGGCAGCUUAACUGUUAGGCAGUCAGGGGAUACUGUUCGGCUUGGGACCGGGAGAGGUGAGAGGUACCUCGGGGGUAGGGGUGAAAUCUUGUGAUCCUCGAGGGACCACCAGUGGCGAAGGCGUCUCACCAGAACGGGUCCGACGGUAAGGGACGAAAGCUAGGGGCACGAACCGGAUUAGAUACCCGGGUAGUCCUAGCCGUAAACGAUGCUUGCUAGGUGUCAGCCACGGUGCGACCGUGGUUGGUGCCGUAGGGAAGCCGUGAAGCGAGCCACCUGGGAAGUACGGCCGCAAGGCUGAAACUUAAAGGAAUUGGCGGGGGAGCACUACAACGGGUGGAGCUGCGGUUUAAUUGGAUUCAACGCCGGAA